AGAGUUUGAUCAUGGCUCAGAAUCAACGCUGGCGGCGCGCUUAACACAUGCAAGUCGAACGAGAAAGGGUAGCAAUACCUGAGUAAAGUGGCGUACGGGUGAGUAACACGUGGAUGAUCUACCUCUUGGCGGGGAAUACCUCUGGGAAACCGGAGACAAUACCGCAUAAGCUCGAGAGAGGAAACCCGCAAGGGGCCGAGAGAGGAGUCCGCGGCCGAUUAGCUAGUUGGUGAGGUAAAGGCCCACCAAGGCGAAGAUCGGUAGCCGGCCUGAGAGGGCACACGGCCACACUGGCACUGAGACACGGGCCAGACUCCUACGGGAGGCAGCAGUGGGGAAUCUUGCACAAUGGGGGCAACCCUGAUGCAGCGACGCCGCGUGAGCGAUGAAGCCCUUCGGGGUGUAAAGCUCUUUCGACGGGAACGAUAAUGACGGUACCCGGAGAAGAAGCUGCGGCUAACUACGUGCCAGCAGCCGCGGUAAUACGUAGGCAGCAAGCGUUGUUCGGAGUUACUGGGCGUAAAGAGUGCGUAGGCGGUGCCCUAAGUCUGUUGUGAAAUCUCCCGGCUUAACUGGGAGGGUGCGGUGGAAACUGGGGUGCUUGAGAGUGGGAGAGGUUAGCGGAAUUCCUGGCGUAGCGGUGAAAUGCGUAGAUAUCAGGAGGAACACCGGUGGUGUAGACGGCUGACUGGACCACGACUGACGCUGAGGCACGAAAGCGUGGGUAGCAAACAGGAUUAGAUACCCUAGUAGUCC
Molecule: ribosomal RNA, 756 nt
Filed under: uncultured bacterium
Lineage: Bacteria
Description: bacterial SSU rRNA
Rfam family: Bacterial small subunit ribosomal RNA
Source: RNAcentral